UACCCGGUGGUGUAAUCGGUAGCACAAGAGACUUUGAAUCUCUUAGUCCAGGUUCAAGUCCUGGCCGGGUAACCA
RNAcentral lists this transfer RNA (75 nucleotides) under Planctomycetota bacterium. RNAcentral's name for it is "tRNA-Gln". It matches the Rfam family "tRNA". Rfam says of the family: Transfer RNA (tRNA) molecules are approximately 80 nucleotides in length. Their secondary structure includes four short double-helical elements and three loops (D, anti-codon, and T loops). RNAcentral also lists the same sequence under 1 other name. Lineage: Bacteria; Pseudomonadati; Planctomycetota. The record is from RNAcentral.